This 253-nucleotide ribosomal RNA is filed under the name uncultured bacterium. Its description in RNAcentral is "partial 16S ribosomal RNA". It matches the Rfam family "Bacterial small subunit ribosomal RNA", at positions 524 to 776 of the family's 1533-position model. The record is from RNAcentral.
UACGUAGGUGGCAAGCGUUGUCCGGAAUUAUUGGGCGUAAAGCGCGCGCAGGCGGUCUCUUAAGUCUGAUGUGAAAUCUCGUGGCUCAACCACGAACGGUCAUUGGAAACUGGGGGACUUGAGUGCAGAAGAGAAGAGCGGAAUUCCACGUGUAGCGGUGAAAUGCGUAGAGAUGUGGAGGAACACCAGUGGCGAAGGCGGCUCUUUGGUCUGUAACUGACGCUGAGGCGCGAAAGCGUGGGGAGCGAACAGG